AACGAACGCUGGCGGCGUGCCUAACACAUGCAAGUCGAACGCGAACGGGUCUUCGGACCCUAGUAGAGUGGCGCACGGGUGAGUAACACGUGGGCAAUCUACCCAGGGAUUUGGGAUAACCAGGGGGAAACCCUGGCUAAUACCGAAUACGUCCAUGAGGCCUUCGGUCCUCAUGGAGAAAGGUGGCCUCUUCUCGAAAGCUGCCGUUCCUGGAUAAGCCCGCGGACCAUUAGCUUGUUGGUGAGGUAACGGCUCACCAAGGCCAUGAUGGUUAGCUGGUCUGAGAGGAUGAUCAGCCACACUGGGACUGACACACGGCCCAGACUCCUACGGGAGGCAGCAGUGGGGAAUCUUGCGCAAUGGGGGAAACCCGUGACGCAGCAACGCCGCGUGGGUGAUGAAGGCCCUUGGGUCGUAAAGCCCUGUCUGGAGGAAAGAAUCCCGCUCUCGCUAAUAUCGGGAGUGGAUGACGGUACCUCUGAAGGAAGCACCGGC
This 495-nucleotide ribosomal RNA is filed under the name uncultured bacterium. RNAcentral's name for it is "bacterial SSU rRNA". It matches the Rfam family "Bacterial small subunit ribosomal RNA", at positions 29 to 497 of the family's 1533-position model. The record is from RNAcentral.